CCUACGUGAGGCAGCAGUGGGGGAUAUUGCACAAUGGGGGGAACCCUGAUGCAGCGACGCCGCGUGGGUGAAGGAGCGUUUCGGCGCGUAAAGCCCUAUCGGCAGGGAAGAAGAUGACGGUACCUGACCAAGAAGCACCGGCUAACUACGUGCCAGCAGCCGCGGUAAUACGUAGGGGGCAAGCGUUAUCCGGAUUCACUGGGUGUAAAGGGAGCGUAGACGGCCAUGCAAGCCAGGGGUGAAAGCCCGGGGCCCAACCCCGGGACUGCCCUUGGAACUGCAUGGCUGGAGUGCGGGAGGGGCAGGCGGAAUUCCUGGUGUAGCGGUGAAAUGCGUAGAUAUCAGGAGGAACACCGGCGGCGAAGGCGGCCUGCUGGACUGCGACUGACGUUGAGGCUCGAAAGCGUGGGGAGCGAACAGGAUUAGAUACCCGUGUAGUC
Molecule: ribosomal RNA, 440 nt
Filed under: uncultured bacterium
Lineage: Bacteria
Description: partial 16S ribosomal RNA
Rfam family: Bacterial small subunit ribosomal RNA
Source: RNAcentral